RNAcentral lists this ribosomal RNA (464 nucleotides) under uncultured bacterium. RNAcentral describes it as "partial 16S ribosomal RNA". It matches the Rfam family "Bacterial small subunit ribosomal RNA", at positions 29 to 507 of the family's 1533-position model. The record is from RNAcentral.
ACGCACGCUGGCGGCGUGCUUAACACAUGCAAGUCGAACGGAAAGGCCCCUUUGGGGGUACUCGAGUGGCGAACGGGUGAGUAACACGUGAGUAACCUGCCCUUGACUUCGGGAUAACUUCAGGAAACUGGGGCUAAUACCGGAUAGGAAUCCUUGCUGCAUGGUGGGGGUUGGAAAGCUUCGGCGGUUUUGGAUGGACUCGCGGCUUAUCAGCUUGUUGGUGGGGUAGUGGCUUACCAAGGCUUUGACGGGUAGCCGGCCUGAGAGGGCGACCGGCCACAUUGGGACUGAGAUACGGCCCAGACUCCUACGGGAGGCAGCAGUGGGGAAUAUUGCACAAUGGGCGGAAGCCUGAUGCAGCAACGCCGCGGGCGGGAUGACGGCCUUCGGGUUGUAAACCGCUUUCAGCAGGGGCGAAGCUUGUGGUGACGGUACCUGCAGAAGAAGCACCGGCUAACUACGUG